This 253-nucleotide ribosomal RNA is filed under the name uncultured bacterium. RNAcentral describes it as "partial 16S ribosomal RNA". It matches the Rfam family "Bacterial small subunit ribosomal RNA", at positions 524 to 776 of the family's 1533-position model. The record is from RNAcentral.
UACAGAGGGGGCAAGCGUUAUUCGGAAUUACUGGGCGUAAAGGGCGCGUAGGCGGGGAGGUAAGUCGGGUGUGAAAUCCCUCGGCUCAACCGAGGAACUGCGCCCGAGACUGCCUUUCUUGAGUCCCGGAGAGGAAGGUGGAAUUCCCGGUGUAGCGGUGAAAUGUGUAGAGAUCGGGAGGAACACCGGUGGCGAAGGCGGCCUUCUGGACGGUGACUGACGCUGAGGCGCGAAAGCGUGGGGAGCAAACGGG